UUACAUUUACCAGUUUUAUUACAUAAAUCUAUUGUUACAAGAGACAGUAUGCAUAGUUAUUACCUGGACCUCAUGGAUAUUAUUAUCCAAUGUAUUAUUGAUCAUUUUAAAGGAGCAUUUUAAUCAAUCACAGGUUCAGACAGAUCAGAGCUGCAUAUUAUGCUGCACAGAGGUUACCAUGGUGAUCAGACUAAGGCAACCUUCUAAGAAUGGGAGAUGGAUAUGACUGUUCACUAGAUGUUUUCUACUGAUCCUUUAUUUAUGGAUCUGGAACCAGUGUCAGAUAGGAGGGAGAGGAAAUACGGCACAUUUCUGCUUUCUGGUGUUUUUUCAUUGGCCCUAAAUGAGCAAAGCUCUUUCCACAUAGACAGACAUAAGGCUUCUCUCCAGUGUGUGUUCGUUGGUGUGUAUUUAGGGUCCAUGAUAGACUGAAACUCUUCCCACACUGAUCACAGCUAUAAGGCUUCUCUCCAGUGUGUGUUCGCUGGUGUCUAUUCAGGUGUCCUGAUAGAGCAAAGCUCUUCCCACAUAGACAGACAUAAGGCUUCUCUCCAGUGUGUGUUACCAGGUGUGUAGUCAGCUCUCCUGACCGAGCAAAGCUC
This is a long non-coding RNA of Oncorhynchus keta (chum salmon), 602 nucleotides long. RefSeq lists it as uncharacterized. The record is from RefSeq and is a predicted model, not a curated record. The transcript has 3 exons. NCBI's taxonomy places the organism in Eukaryota, Metazoa, Chordata, Actinopteri, Salmoniformes, Salmonidae.